RNAcentral lists this ribosomal RNA (812 nucleotides) under uncultured Pseudomonadota bacterium. RNAcentral's name for it is "bacterial SSU rRNA". It matches the Rfam family "Bacterial small subunit ribosomal RNA", at positions 73 to 902 of the family's 1533-position model. The record is from RNAcentral. Lineage: Bacteria; Pseudomonadati; Pseudomonadota.
AGUGUAGCAAUAUGCUCAAAAGUGGCGAACGGGUGAGUAACACGUAGGUAACCUGCCGCGCAGAGGGGGAUAACGACUGGAAACGGUCGCUAACACCGCAUGGUACUAACUUGACGGGAGUCUGGUUGGUUAAAACCUUGGUGCUGCGCGAGGGGCCUGCGUCCGAUUAGUUAGUUGGUGAGGUAACGGCUCACCAAGACGAUGAUCGGUAGCUGGUCUGAGAGGAUGAUCAGUCACACGGGAACUGAGACACGGUCCCGACUCCUACGGGGGGCAGCAGUGAGGAAUAUUGCACAAUGGACGCAAGUCUGAUGCAGCAACGCCGCGUGGAGGAUGAAGGUCUUUGGAUCGUAAACUCCUUUUCUCAGGGAAGAGAAUGGACGGUACCUGAGGAAUAAGUCACGGCUAACUACGUGCCAGCAGCCGCGGUAAUACGUAGGUGGCAAGCGUUAUCCGGAAUUACUGGGCGUAAAGCGCACGCAGGCGGUCUUUUAAGUUUGACGUGAAAGCUCCCGGCUUAACUGGGAGAGGUCGUUGAAGACUGGAAGACUUGAGGCAAUGAGAGGGGUGUAGAAUUCCCGGUGUAGUGGUGGAAUGCGUAGAUAUCGGGGGGAAUACCAGUGGCGAAAGCGGCACCCUAGCGUUAGCCUGACGCUCAUGUGCGAAAGCGUGGGGAGCGAACGGGAUUAGAUACCCCGGUAGUCCACGCUGUAAACGAUGAACACUAGGUGUAGGUGAUGUGAAAGUUAUCUGUACCGAAGCCAACGCGUUAAGUGUUCCGCCUGGGGAGUACGGCCGCAAGGCUAAAACUC